AUUGAACGCUGGCGGCAGGCCUAACACAUGCAAGUCGAACGAGUGGCGGACGGGUGAGUAAUGUCUGGGAAACUGCCUGAUGGAGGGGGAUCACUACUGGAAACGGUAGCUAAUACCGCAUACCAUCGGAUGUGCCCAGAUGGGAUUAGCUCGUAGGGGGGGUAAAGUCUCCCCUAGUCGACGCGCCCUCGCUGGUCUGAGAGGAUGACCAGCCACACGGGAACUGAGACACGGUCCAGACUCCUACGGCAGGCAGCAGUGGGGAAUAUUGCACAAUGGGCGCAAGCCUGAUGCAGCCAUGCCGCGUGUAUGAAGAAGGCCUUCGGGUUGUAAAGUACUUUCAGCGGGGAGGCGUUACCCGCAGAAGAAGCACCGGAGAACUAGGUGACAGCAGCCGCGGUAAUUC
Molecule: ribosomal RNA, 406 nt
Filed under: uncultured bacterium
Lineage: Bacteria
Description: partial 16S ribosomal RNA
Rfam family: Bacterial small subunit ribosomal RNA
Source: RNAcentral